RNAcentral lists this ribosomal RNA (550 nucleotides) under Hanseniaspora uvarum. Its description in RNAcentral is "eukaryotic LSU rRNA". It matches the Rfam family "Eukaryotic large subunit ribosomal RNA", at positions 90 to 654 of the family's 3401-position model. The record is from RNAcentral. Lineage: Eukaryota; Fungi; Ascomycota; Saccharomycetes; Saccharomycodales; Saccharomycodaceae.
CGAGUGAAGCGGUAAAAGCUCAAAUUUGAAAUCUGGUACUUUCAGUGCCCGAGUUGUAAUUUGUAGAAUUUGUCUUUGAUUAGGUCCUUGUCUAUGUUCCUUGGAACAGGACGUCAUAGAGGGUGAGAAUCCCGUUUGGCGAGGAUACCUUUUCUCUGUAAGACUUUUUCGAAGAGUCGAGUUGUUUGGGAAUGCAGCUCAAAGUGGGUGGUAAAUUCCAUCUAAAGCUAAAUAUUGGCGAGAGACCGAUAGCGAACAAGUACAGUGAUGGAAAGAUGAAAAGAACUUUGAAAAGAGAGUGAAAAAGUACGUGAAAUUGUUGAAAGGGAAGGGCAUUUGAUCAGACAUGGUGUUUUUUGCAUGCACUCGCCUCUCGUGGGCUUGGGCCUCUCAAAAAUUUCACUGGGCCAACAUCAAUUCUGGCAGCAGGAUAAAUCAUUAAGAAUGUAGCUACUUCGGUAGUGUUAUAGCUUUUUGGAAUACUGUUAGCCGGGAUUGAGGACUGCGCUUCGGCAAGGAUGUUGGCAUAAUGGUUAAAUGCCGCCCGUCU